CCCCACUUGUCCCAUGAGCUAAAUAAGAACUACUCCCAGAUGAAUGGACAGUGCCUAUCCAUGGCUACACAGAGAAAAGAGCAACAUGAACCAUAUAAUGUUGGACUUGCAGAAAUUAUAAUCUUUUAAAUCUAAAGCAAGAAUGAAUUGUCUCCAUAAUGUCGCACAGAAGCAGAGCAGUCUGCCCAUAAGGUAGCACGUGUUUUACAGCCCGCUGAAUUUCAAAUGCCAGGGUUAAUUUUAAGAGUUACUGGGACUUCUCACAUGCUAAAGUACUUGGCUGAACUGUGACAAGAUGAAAGGAGGUUAAAGUAAUGAGCAGCUUGAGGGUGUAUAUUUGUUUUAGUCAGAGAAGUUUUAUCAUUGACUUUAAUGGGGCCAGGCCUGCGUACCCCAAAUUAAAGUGAGUUAGGUAUUUGCAUACAUUAUAGGCUAAUAAGCCACUUUCCAAGUGUAACUGUACAUAAGAAGCAUCUGCAGUACCACAGCACCACCAGACUAAUUGCUACAUCUUUAGCAGAUUAUGAUGGUUUAUCAUUUUACAUGUUUCUGCUCCAGCAGAGAUCUGUAUGCCUUACAUUAGUCUGAUAAGCUCAAUUUUAGGUAUAUUGUUUUCAGCUGUGGCAACAGCUGAACUGACAACCAGUAAACUAAAGGCAUGGGGGUUUUGUUUGGGGUUUUUUUCCCCUUUUUUUUCCUUCUGUUUCAGUCAUUCCUUUAAUUUAUUUAUUUAUACCUAUUUUACAGCUUUGUUCAAAUUUGUAUCUGUGGCAAGUUUACAGCACACUGUGCUUAACACUGUAAAGCCAGACUGUUCUCUCGUAUUUACUAAAGCUUUCCACAUUAUGCAUGUUGUGUUUUAUUUCACUGUUUGGAGGACAUUUUAUAAAAUCAGCAGCUAGACGGAAGGAAAUCAUUUGCAUACUUGGUUCCAUACACCUGGAAUUCCUUAAUUUCAGGGAUUAACAAAAUGAGUCUAAUAAAAAGCAUAGGGCCUUGUUAAUCAGCUCUGUAAACUCCCUUCAUUAGCUGUUACUUGCUGCCAACAUGAGUGCACAUUUCAGGAAAUUUACAUUGUGCAGGUCAGUUAUUACAAUUUUAUGAACUGAUUUCUAAUUUUAUGUGACACAGUUUGUGUUUUUAGUGUUCCUAAAAGUUAAAUAACAUUUUUUUAAAGUCCUGAAUAGUGUGUGCCCUUGUGCAGUCUCAUUCAUGACACUUUCCAUACAUUAGGUCCAUAAUAACAUCAGUUUACUGAAACUGACAAUACAAUAUAGUGUCAAUAAUAUGAACAGAUGCUUUGUAUUGGAGUUGGUGUGGAAAACUUUCCUUCAGACUAUAAAGUAUGGGUUAUAAACACCUGUAGUUUUGUCAUUGUUUGUUCAUUUUUUAAAACCUAAGCAGGAAAAGAUUUCUAAACUUAUUAUGAAAUCCAGUAAUCACAAUCACUUUCUCUUACUAGAUCCUGCUAGAGUAAGUACAGCUCAAGUUUUCAUUGUAGUUACUACUUGUUCACAUAUUGAAGGCCUGAUCUGAGUCUACUGAAACAUUUGGAGACGUUCUCCCAACAGAUUUCAACUGGCUUCCAGCAGGUCCUUGAUUUCAAGGAAUAUUUGGAAACCUGAUAUUUCCUUUUCUAAUAAAACAAUGAGAAUCUUAAAUAUAUUGAUGCUAUGCUUGUUGUAAUUAAAUUCCUCCUUCCUUCUUCUCAAUUCUUUCUACCUCAAAAAUAAGAUUUUUUGGGGUUUUAUCUGUUGAAUUUGAUACCUACCCUUCAAGGCUGGAAAUCUGUUCUAGUUAUGUAGCAGCCAUGAAACAGAAGUUUUUAAAUACAUUAACUUCUUCCUUCCUGCUGGAUUCUGUUUGGACUUUGAACAGACACUGUCCAGACAUGCUGACUUCACAAAUGUUACUUGACUUCAAGUUAAUGUCCUUCAUUUUAGAGCAAAGCAAGUUUAACAAGUGAGGGGAAACUGCUCCAUCUCUACAGUGCAAAAAGUGUCCCAAGACCUGGAGCGCUUUGGCCUGGGGGUCUGACACUUCACACAGAAAUGAAUGGUGAAGGCUGAACUAAAGGAAAAGGUGAUUUGUGACUGGGGUGUGCUCAUCUCCUGAUCAACCUCCUGCCCUCUUACCAGAAUGUUAACAUUUUAUCACAUCAAGCACAGAAAAAGUAGCUGAAACAACUUUAUGUGGAACAGAGUUACCUGUGAUUUCUAAAUGUAGCUAGAAUGCAAAAAAACCCAACUUUAAAUAUUUAAAGUAGCAACAGUGGUAAGAUUCUGAUGGAUAUUCUGAGAGCAAGCCAAGAGACUAGCUCCAAAUAAAUUAUUCAUUGUGAAUUAUUCCGUUCACUCUCACAUCGUUACAUAACUCACAGAGGUAUCCUGGCAAUUAAUAGGUGCAAAGAAAUGCAAGAGAUGGGUCAUAUGAUUAAAAUACCAAAUAUUAUUGUUAUAUUCAAUUUUUUUAUGCAUAUACAAACAAACCAGCAGACAAUUUGCCAGAAGCUGAGGUUCAGGGGAAUUUCAUACUGGUUUUGAGAACUGUCAGAGUACAUUCAUAGAGCUUUAUCUUCUGGAAAAAUAAGUAUACUGUGGUGGAUUUAAGUUAAAGCAAUGUGGCAGGUAGACUGAUAACAAAGUUCUCUCAGAGGCUGGCUCUGUCUUAGAUGGCUCUAUUAGAGAAUAAGUUUAAUAUCUUUUUCUCUUUCCCCCCACCUUUUGUGUAAUUUUAGGGUUAUUUGGUGUGUUUUAGGUAGUUCUCAAGACGUGUUAGGGGAAAAAUCUUGAGAAAUUUCUGAAAGUCUUUGGUAAUGAAAGAAGAGGACAAUGACUUUAGCAGAAGCAACUUCAGUUAUUUGAGUGAUUUUUCCCUUCUGGGAUUAAACUUUUUUCAAAAAAUUUAACUUUCUUUUUCUGUUUUUCAAGAGGAUGGAUUUUUUUUUUCCUAGAAACUAAAGAGUAGCUUUUGCAACUCUGUAUUUAGUACUAAGAAAUCAUACCAUGUCAUCUUUCUUAUAGCUGGAGCUUUGACAAACUGACUUUGUUGACUUUUUGUAUGUACUAACACAAUCUAAUUCCUAAACAGUAAAAAUCAGAUAAAAUUACUCAGCACUGAAGCAAUCUAGAUACAUGGAAACACAUACAGAAAUCAGAACAUGUUGCCAUCUCAGAUAAAAUGUAGUGGACUUUCAGAAACCAACAAAAUCCUAACUCUGAGUAAAAUUCAUUGGUAUCUGAACUAAAGUACACACUACAGAGAAGAAACAGCUAUUAGAAAUCCCUGGCAACUGAAAACACACUGUAUAGUGGCUUACCCCAUGAAACGGCUUCAAAACUAGUAUCUAACUUUUUAAAAAUGUAACUAAAUUAAUGGAUUUAGUAUUUUCAGCUACUCAGUGGGAUGAAUAAACUGCUUUAUGUUGAUAAAAAGCAGACUAGAAACUCUACAUCGGGUCUGACCUUGAAAGCACAGUGGUUUUUAAAAUAAUCACAAUAUCCAUGCAGGGCUCAAAUAAGAAGCCCAAACUCUUCACCACAUGUCCUUGUUUUAAGCUGAGGGAUACAUUAACAAUCAGGAGAAAUAUAUUCUCACUAUUCUCCUGUAGAGGACUGUAGAGAUCCAACUUCUCUAGAGGUCAACAGAGGACAUAAAGAAUGGACAGGCUUUUCUCAACUGUUUGCCACCUUAACUGGGAGUGUAUCUAAACCCUCCUUCCCCUUCACAGAGACUGUGUUUACACACUAUCCAUUCUCUCUAAUAUUUUUUUUUUACAAAUGACAAGGUUUCUACACAAUUUUGGGAAAGGCUGGGACAUUUUCAAAAGCAUCUUCAGACACUCCCCUACUCUGCACAUCUAUUAACCAGCCUUGUAAAAAACACUUCAUACACUUCUGGGUGUGUGGUUUAUAUGUUCACAAACCUACAUUUCACCCUUAGCUUCCCUUGAAGACAAGUCCAAAAAUAAAGGAUAAGUAAAAAAAGUUGAGCAAGAAAGGAAGGCAGGCAGCUCCCAAGCUGCCAGUCCCAGCGCAGGGGCUUGGCUGAAGCAGAGGGAGCACACAGCACACUGCUGCUCAUCAGCCUGCUGCUGCUGCAGCUUUGUCUGGUGUCAUUGGGUUGCUGUCCAGCUACAAAAAAAUGCUGCCUAAAGAAGAGCAUAUUGCCAAUGCUGGCUGCCAACCUUAGAGCUAGUGAUAAUCCAAACAGCACAAAGUGCCCAUUAUCAGUUCCUUCUCUGAACAGCCCAUUAAAAACAGCUGUGCAGAUAAAAGAACUGGAGAACUUUGUAGCAGAAAUUAAGCAGAGAGAGAAUGUGGUGGUUAGAGCCAACCACAGCCAUUUAAUUUCUGUGAAAGAAGAGUGGAAAAAAAAGGAAAAAGAAAAAAAGGAUAAGACUCCAAGUUAUGAAUGGGAAAGGAAAGUUGUAUGCCUGCCUAAAGCACUGAAAACCAUUGUGGAAGAGGAUUUCUGAAGACAGGAGGUCUUCAUUAAGAUUUAGGGGCUAAUCCUAGAGAAUCUCAUUGCUCUGAACAGGCAACACAGAUACCAACACCUCAAUGACAGCAGACAAAUGCAGACACUACCUCCUUCCCACACACAUUCCUACAGAGGCACCCAUGCACUUUUCCCCAGAGGAAAAGUCUCUGCUCUGCUGCAGCAGAGUCACUGGGGAACAAACUAAAAUUCUUUCUGCAUCAGCAAAAUGAUUCACAGAAAGUUACAUAAAACUUUGGGUUCUCUGUUUAUCAGGUUGUGCCUCCAAAGAAAUGAGGAAAUAUUGGCAACUACGUGCUUGGAGCCCCUGGAUCAUUUUAUGUCUCAGCCCAGCCAUAAACAGACGCAGUUUGCUCUGCACGAGCCUCAGUUCUGCAGACAAUAGAACUCCCCCUCCUCCGUUCCUGAAAGUGCAUUCAAAUAAUUUCAAAAUAAUUUAUGAGCAUUGCUCUGCUAGAGCAUGUCCUCUAGCACAGCCUGUUGGAGGCACACAGAGGCACUGCAGGCUCACCCAGGCAGUCUCUUACCCAAACCAUCCCUUCACCUGGGAGCUUUUCCCCUGGACGCUGGAAAGGCAAAGGGCAGCUGCCACUGGGAACCAAGCUCCUCAAACAUAUACAGUAUGGCAGGGAGGAGGGGCUGCUGCUGGAGAAAACUUAAUUUGAAGAUAAACUGAUGGCAUAAAGAGUCUCUGAACUCAUUUUAAAGACAAUGGUCAGUUUGGAUUCUCAACUGAGUACAAGUGCUUGUCGUUGGUAUAACUAAAAGCAGGAAAAAAUAUUUUUUAUUAUUAUUUCUUCUAAGUGCUCACAAUUAAUUUUUGAGUUUUCAUUUUUCCCUUGAGGUAUAGGCAACUCUUUAAAAAUUAAAAAGAUAUUUUUUGUCUUACUAGUGAAAGUGUAAAAACUUUUUUUUUUUUUACAGUUCUGACUACCCCCAUUUCAACUAUGUCUGGAUUUGCUCACAAUUUCUUAGGUGUGCAAAACCAACCCCUUUUAAUUCAUAAUGCUAUAUGCAAUUAUAUGAAGAAAAGGUCUAUGUAAAGACGGCUGAAUCCUGAAAAUAUUGUUGCAGUAUUACUUAAUAUCAGUGGCUUAAAUCUGGUCAGAAAUAAUUUUACAAGCUACUUUAGAUAUCUGCAGAGAUUUCUCAUGCUAAUAUUGUAUUGGAAUUUUCCCAAAUUCUUUGAAAGCCUAUCCAUUUUUUCAUGAUAUAGCUGAACUAAAGGACAUAAGGUGGCUCACACAAAAACUUAUACUUUUUUUUUUGCAGAAGAGCAAGUUACUGCAACCUUCCCUGUGUUUAGAACAGAAUGUAAAGCUCCUUUUUGAUUUAGCUUUCCAACAAAAACAAAAAGAAGAGAAUUUAAAAGAAAAAGCAGGAAGAUGUGAAUAAUAAUAAAUAAUCAAAUCCAUCUGUUUCAGAGGGAGCCAGGAGAAGGAACCUAGACCACAGCUCUUCCUACUAACAAAACCUGUGUGCACGCAUUGGAGUGUUAACGUGCCCUGGUGAUGUGUGGUAAUUGUAUACAUAGACACCAAAGCAUUUUUUUCUUCUCACAUCAGGCUUCUCCAUUUUAACCAGAUCUAAAACAUGCACCAUCAGGAACUAUUGCUUUCUCCAUUUUUCAAAGAGCUAAUAGAUACUAAUCAUUGACCUCAGACUUGUCAUACAUCACUAGAAGGAUGUUCUCCAUAAACAACAUGCUGGAGGUCAUGUCAAUGUCCACUUCCACCUCCUUUGAUUUCUGCCCAUCUGCAGCUUGCAGGCCAAAUAAAUCUCGUUAAACAGCAUGUGCACAACUCUCUUAAACAUUCCAGAGAACAAAGACAAAAGAAACAGUAAUGGCCACAGUUAUAUAAAGCUGCAGCAGUAGCAAAAAAAGUCUACGGGUAGCUUGAGUUUCAUAAGCACUGAAAACAUAAUCUAUCAUCAGGCAGCGUGCACACUGCAUGUGACUGCAGCUGGGGCACAGGCAGGCAAUUUCUGAUUUGAUUUGUGGCUCAGUGCUGCAGGAUGGUCUCUGCCAUUCACCUCUCCCUUUGCAUGUCCCCUUUCCCACUCUCUGCUGCACACUCCUACCUCUUCUGCUGGUCUUGGUGCCCUUAUGAGCAGAUUCUGCUGAUAAACUUUCUAAGACUUAUGGAAAACAAAACAAAACAAAACAAACAAACAAAAAAACCCACAAAAAAACCAAAAAAACCCCAAACAAAUAAAAAGAAAAAACAAAAAAAAA
This 6736-nucleotide long non-coding RNA is filed under the name Taeniopygia guttata (zebra finch). RNAcentral describes it as "lncRNA (ENSTGUG00000022825.1)". Lineage: Eukaryota; Metazoa; Chordata; Aves; Passeriformes; Estrildidae. The record is from RNAcentral.